RNAcentral lists this non-coding RNA (35 nucleotides) under unclassified sequences. RNAcentral describes it as "DUF805b RNA". It matches the Rfam family "DUF805b RNA". Rfam says of the family: Bacteroidetes, Chlorobi (1 example), Proteobacteria. The record is from RNAcentral.
AAGGAGUAAGCUGAAAAUCCUGCAAAGAGUAAGCA